Thunnus maccoyii (southern bluefin tuna) is the source of this 530-nucleotide long non-coding RNA. RefSeq lists it as uncharacterized. The transcript is spliced from 3 exons. The record is from RefSeq and is a predicted model, not a curated record. NCBI's taxonomy places the organism in Eukaryota, Metazoa, Chordata, Actinopteri, Scombriformes, Scombridae.
AUGAGAUGAUGAGGAAGAGGGAGCAUACAAAGGAAAACAAUUAUAGAAACUGCUGAAGAUGGAAAUAAAAGAUGAAGAUUAUUGAAAAGAAGGAUGACUAUGAAGAGACAAGAUGAGGAGGAAGGGGCUGCAGAAAUAAAUGAGUGUUGCUUUAAUAUGCGGGAAAGAAGAAGAGCAUCAAAGGUGUAACUACAAUCAGCUGGCAGGAAGCUGCUUCUGCUGAUGAUGCUGAUGAUGAUGCUGAUGAAGAAGCCUCGAGGUUGUAAACAGUACCUGCUGCUCUCUGCAUUAUUCAGCAGCGGUGUAUUUGGCCCCAGCUGCUGCUGUGACGUUGCGUAACUCGUUUAUUAUCCCUCUCUGAAUCGGUGUCAGGUCAUGUUGGGAAGGAAGGAUGUGAUUCAUAAUUCUGUCAUAAUCCACAGGAAACAGUACGACCCUGGAAGCUGCACAUAUGUGUGUGUGUGUGUGUGUGAGUGAGUUUGUUUGUUUGAAUGCGUGUGUGUCUUACUGUAAGCAUGAGAUUAGUGACU